GGCAGAGUUCCGUGGUAGAGCGCAUGCUUAGCAUGCAUGAGGUCCUGGGUUCAAUCCCCAGUACUGCCG
RNAcentral lists this transfer RNA (69 nucleotides) under Camelus dromedarius (Arabian camel). It matches the Rfam family "tRNA". From Rfam's summary of the family: Transfer RNA (tRNA) molecules are approximately 80 nucleotides in length. Their secondary structure includes four short double-helical elements and three loops (D, anti-codon, and T loops). The record is from Rfam by way of RNAcentral. Lineage: Eukaryota; Metazoa; Chordata; Mammalia; Artiodactyla; Camelidae. RNAcentral also lists the same sequence under 1 other name.